UUUUCAGUUGAUUCAUUGCUUUCAACUUCAAUACCUUUUACUGAAGGUCCAAGUGCACCCUCUUUCUCGCCAUCUUCUAGCACUUCACUCUCAUUUUCUUGUCUCUAGAUCUCCUUUAAAACUGAAAAUUUAUCAAACCCAGAUGAAUUUUCAAGCUUAACAAAAGGGGUAUCUUUCAAAGUGGAAUGCUUUAUGAUUUUUGCUGAAUCGUUACUGGUGGAAGUACUCGAGCUCUCUACAGUUAUGGGUUUAUGACCACCAAAUUAACAAAUGAUUUAUUGAAUUGACAAAUGGAUUUCCCAAUGAGUUGAAGGGUUGGAUUUGAUGAUCCAAGCAAAAAAGCAAAUCAGGAAGAUAAAAGAAGAACAUACUGUGAAAGAAAACACCUAAAUCUUGUAGAUUCGAAGGAAAAACUUCUGUCUCUCCAUCAAUGUGGUUCAUCAACAAAAUGCUUCAAAAUACAGUAAAAGAACAGUUAUUCUAUGAAAUUUGAUAGAGAGGACUUAUCCCUUUAUGCAUUUAUUGGUGCGUAUGUCGAUGGAGCAAAUUUUUCAAAAAGACAGCAAAACAAUUGAUCAUCUGAAGAGACCUUAGAUAAUGUGGAGUGGUUUGCCGGUAAAGGAAAACUUACCACCAUUCUGGUGGAAGAACCCAAGGGAAGAGUAGGGGACGACGAAGAAGAGACAUAGAGCUAAAGAGUUAAAGGUAGGAGUUUAUUUUUGGCUAGGUGAAAAUUAUCUUACUUACUCCCCUAAACGGCAUAAGGCAAUUAACAAUUUACCCAUUGACUUGUAAAAUCUUUUUCAUUUGAAUUUCAAUUUCAAUCAUUCAAGCAAAACUUAAUUUUGAAAACAUUUUUUGGAAAAUUUUUUACACAAACUUUAAAUUCCAGCUAAACUCCAUUAGCACCUAACAGUUCCUAAUUUGGGUUUUCUUCCUAACACUACCUUGAUCAAUCAUUUGCAGUGUCUUACCUCAUAAACUCAUGUGAGUUGUCUUUAAAAUCUGCUAAAUCAGUUGUGAGAAAGCAGAUUCAGUCGUCAACCUUCUCAAAAAAUAUGGGCUCAACAAUGCUCAAAUUCCCAGGUAGUGAAGAAGGACCCAAAGGUGCCUGGAAAGAUUUUGUCCAAGCUUGAGUUGUUAGGCCACCUAGCACUGCCGUGGCCAAUAUCGUGUCAUGAUUUCCUGAAAAGUGUGCUUCCUGAUGGUGUAAAAGAGGUUAAACCAUUGAGGCGGUCACAGUCUGCUUUACUGAAACAGCUGCAGAAUAAUUUGAUACCAAACAUAAAGCUUUUGAGAGAAAUUGGGGUCCCUCAAUCUUCCAUCUCUGUCCUAACCAAUGUAAAUCAUGCAGUAUUUGCCAAACCCAGGCAGACUUGACCACAACGCCACAAAAACUCUAAUCUAACUCUUCAUUAGUCUUUGUUUUGUUUUUAUUUAUGCCAGUAAUCCACCCCUUAAGAUCAACUGUGAAGAAGAAUUCAGGUGACAAGAAAAAAAUAAAAGAAGCUUACACAUAUCCCUUCCAAAUUCUGAUAUUCACCACUCUCCAAUCUUCUACUACAUUUUUCUGGACACUGGAAUUCAAUAUCAGACGAAUACCCA
This 1605-nucleotide long non-coding RNA is filed under the name Theobroma cacao (cacao). RNAcentral's name for it is "long non-coding RNA (TCAC_LNC000264)". The record is from RNAcentral. Lineage: Eukaryota; Viridiplantae; Streptophyta; Magnoliopsida; Malvales; Malvaceae.